GACGAACGCUGGCGGCAUGCCUAAUACAUGCAAGUCGAGCGAACAGAUGAAGUGCUUGCACUUCUGACGUUAGCGGCGAACGGGUGAGUAACACGUAAGGAAUCUACCUAUAAGCGGGGGAUAACAUUCGGAAACGGGUGCUAAUACCGCAUAAUAUCUUCUUCCGCACGGAAGAAGAUUGAAAGACGGCUCUGCUGUCACUUAUAGAUGACCUUGCGGUGCAUUAGUUAGUUGGUGGGGCAACGGCCUACCAAGACGAUGAUGCAUAGCCGACCUGAGAGGGUGAUCGGCCACAUUGGGACUGAGACACGGCCCAAACUCCUACGGGAGGCGGCAGUAGGGAAUCUUCCGCAAUGGGCGAAAGCCUGACGGAGCAAUGCCGCGUGAGUGAAGAAGGCCUUCGGGUCGUAAAACUCUGUUAUAAGAGAAGAACAAAUUGUAGAGUAACUGCUACAGUCUUGACGGUAUCUUAUCAGAAAGCCACGGCUAACUACGUGCCAGCCGCCGCGGUAA
Molecule: ribosomal RNA, 513 nt
Filed under: uncultured bacterium
Lineage: Bacteria
Description: partial 16S ribosomal RNA
Rfam family: Bacterial small subunit ribosomal RNA
Source: RNAcentral